AACUUUUCUUAGUUAAAGCUAAGAACCGUCUCUUAGCUGAAGCUAAGAACCCAGUCUCUUAUCUGGGGUUAAUCAUGGUCGUCUAAUGUCUCAUUUAUUAGUGUUUUUAUUUUUCACAGUCGUUAGGUACUCUCAUCAUGCUCUCUCCUAUAUAAUUCGUUAAUGCAUGCGCAGAUACCAAUUAUCAUGCUUGUUGUGGAAGUCCCUUGUGAUCUGGUAUGCAGUAUACAGUCACCAAAAGAUGGCCCAGACUGUAUCACCGUUGACCAAGACAGCAAUAGUAACACUGAUGUGGUUGGAUUUGAAGACUCUGCAGCAGCAAACUCUUUACCGACAAAGGCUGGAAACUUGGCAAAUGCAAAAUGUGUCCGUCUUGACAUCAGUUUCAAAACGCCAUCGCAUACGUGUCUUCAAACCACACAAUUGGUGUUUGUUUAAUUCUUCUUUCACAGCAAGAUAUUUGUUUUUCUUACAUUAUACCUCUUCUUGUCUAUGUAUCUCUGUAACCUUUUUUCUUUCUUUGGGCUUAUGUUUCCUAAAAUGUUCGUUUCUGCAGGUGAAAGAUCUGACAGCAAUUUCCAGCUGCCACACCACUUGCUUUGGUGUUAAAGCAGUUUUUGGCUGAUCGUACCCUGGAUCAAUCAUACUCCGGCGGAUUGAGCUCUUAUUGCCUGGUGAGCCGUGUUCCUUUACAUUAAGUAAAACUCUCCUUUCUUUUAGUUUUCAGGUGGUCAGUCUCUGUAUAUGUAAUGCGGAUCCUGGUAGUUGGUGUUUGUCUAAUUUGAUUAGUACCAAUGCACCAGCCACCUUAUUAAUCCAUUCUCUAAACAUGUUUUCAGAUAUCUGUUUAUGAAUCGUAGACUAUAUGAUUACUGCAGGUCUUCUGAUUACACGUUUUCUUCAGCAUGAGCAUCAUCUGGGGCGCUCUAUCAACCCAGUACUUAGUUUUAUUGUUUGCCUAUUCUGUAACACAAGUAUCUAUAUUUGUUCAGGUUUCCUUGUUACACUCAUGCAAUUAUUACUAAUUGAAAAUAAGUAUUUUUGCAGAACAUUGGGCGGCUUCUAAUGGAUUUUGUUUACUUUUUUGGUAAUGUUUUUGAUCCUCGGCAGAUGCGUGGCUCAGUGCAAGGAAGUGGUAUCUAUAGGAAUCGGGAGAGGGGUCAUAGUAUUGAUCCGAUACACAUCGAUGACCCUCUGGAAUCGACAUGGUGUUUUAUGUGGUGUACAAUGUCUGGAAGUUGCAAAAUGCUGAUUGAUAAUGGCGAUGAUUGCAACUGCAUUGGUUGAUUGCGGAUUCUAGGCUGGGAAGCUUACUUACACGAGUCCAAAUUGUUAUUGAAGAUAGGCCUCCAGAUUUGCUUACAUUGUGUUGUUGAUGUAAGAAAACUACGUGGAAAGUGGAUAGUAAUCGAAUUAUCUCAUGGUGUUUGUAAUCUUUAUUGUACGAGUGUAGUUUGAUGACUCAGCUUGUCUGUGGUUGGUCGUUUGAAGCAUAGGCUUGGUCAGCAGCCUAACCAACCAAGUAAGAAAAUGCACUGGUUGAAGCGAAAGAGCCCUAUAAAUGUUUCAAGACUGGGACAGACUGACAACACGCCUGAGCGGGAGGAGGGGGGGGGGAGCUUUGGGAGAAUGGUUGAAUCACGGCUCUGAUCUGAGGGAUGAUGUCGCAAUUUCAGAAAACUAGUGAUAUCGAGGUAUGGUUAAGCCUAUGUCUCUCGACAUGAAAUUGUUAAUUGUGGCGACCGUUUCUUCAUUUGAUACCCACUGCUACUAUUGGGGUGAAUCGAAGCCUUUGUCGUCUAUAUGUAUGAUGGCCACGAUCCUUUUGUUCCUUCUUUUGCCAAGAAAAUAAGGAGAUAAUUGAAUACACUUUGUUGUGAUUCUCA
Brassica napus (rape) is the source of this 1886-nucleotide long non-coding RNA. RefSeq lists it as uncharacterized. NCBI's taxonomy places the organism in Eukaryota, Viridiplantae, Streptophyta, Magnoliopsida, Brassicales, Brassicaceae. The transcript has 4 exons. The record is from RefSeq and is a predicted model, not a curated record.